CACUCCUGCGGGAGGCAGCAGUGGGGAAUUUUGGACAAUGGGCGAAAGCCUGAUCCAGCAAUGCCGCGUGAGUGAAGAAGGCCUUCGGGUUGUAAAGCUCUUUUGUCAGGGAAGAAACGGUGAGAGCUAAUAUCUCUUGCUAAUGACGGUACCUGAAGAAUAAGCACCGGCUAACUACGUGCCAGCAGCCGCGGUAAUACGUAGGGUGCAAGCGUUAAUCGGAAUUACUGGGCGUAAAGCGUGCGCAGGCGGUUUUGUAAGUCUGAUGUGAAAUCCCCGGGCUCAACCUGGGAAUUGCAUUGGAGACUGCAAGGCUAGAAUCUGGCAGAGGGGGGUAGAAUUCCACGUGUAGCAGUGAAAUGCGUAGAUAUGUGGAGGAACACCGAUGGCGAAGGCAGCCCCCUGGGUCAAGAUUGACGCUCAUGCACGAAAGCGUGGGGAGCAAACAGGAUUAGAUACCCCAGUAGUCCCAUG
This 474-nucleotide ribosomal RNA is filed under the name uncultured organism. Its description in RNAcentral is "partial 16S ribosomal RNA". It matches the Rfam family "Bacterial small subunit ribosomal RNA", at positions 334 to 799 of the family's 1533-position model. The record is from RNAcentral.